GUUGAUAGGUCAGAGGUGUAAGUGCGGCAACGUAUUUAGCUGACUGAUACUAAUAGGUCGAGGGCUUGACCAA
RNAcentral lists this ribosomal RNA (73 nucleotides) under Clostridium beijerinckii. Its description in RNAcentral is "partial 23S ribosomal RNA". It matches the Rfam family "Bacterial large subunit ribosomal RNA", at positions 2852 to 2925 of the family's 2925-position model. Lineage: Bacteria; Bacillati; Bacillota; Clostridia; Eubacteriales; Clostridiaceae. RNAcentral also lists the same sequence under 1 other name. The record is from RNAcentral.